CAUGACAACAACUACACGGAGGAAGCUGGCGACAAAUUUGUUUGUGUUAGCAGCUGACACAGUUUACCUCGGUGUCAUUAGCUGCUCUUUGUAAUAGCUCUCAUCAUGGAAGACCAGGAGAUGCAACUUAAAGUCAAACGAGUCACCGACAAAUUCACGGAGAGCAUGUACGUCCUGGCUAACGAGCCGUCCGUGGCCCUCUACCGACUGCAGGAACACGUCAGAAGGUCGCUGCCUGAGCUCGUGCAGCACAAGACGGACAUGCAGAGCUGGGAGGAACAAAGCCAAGGAGCCAUCUACACUGUUGAGUACGCAUGCAGUGCCGUGAAGAGCAUGACGAAGAGCAGCCUGUAUUUCAAAAGUAUCGACAGCCUCCUCCGCCAAGCCAUCAGCAUGAAAGAGCAGAUCAGCAACUCUCAAGGGCGCAGACACAUGCAUGCAGCUUAAAUGAUGUGACCCCCUCUCCCAGUCCCCCUGUCCCUGCUCCACAUCCCUCAUCCUCUUCAUCAUGAUGACUGGAUGGAGCUGUCCAAGGAAAAGGACCAUGGACCCAGGCCUGCUAAAGGAAGGGGGAGAAAAGCACAGCUCUGGGAUGUGAUGUGACUUCUUGAAUUGGUGGUGUUGCUGCUGCAGUCUCCUGCUCUGCUGCCUCUUGACAGAGGCUGAAGUGGGGUCACAAGGGCAACACCUCCUCCAUCACAAUGGAGCGACUGCCUCCAUUGCCCCCCCCCCCCCAAGUGCAAGCCGCUCAGUGGAAUAGGGCGCCAUGGCGCUGCCAGGUUCUGCAUUAAAAAUACUCAAGUCAUGGACAUCGCUCAAAGAGUGCAUUGUUCUGUGUGGCUCACUGAGCAGACCAGUGAAAAAGCACCACUGCAGCUUUUCUCUCAGCUGUUGAAAAUCCACUGCGCUAACACUGUUUUGGACAUUACUUUUUCAUGAGCAGCACUGUUGCAUUUACACCAAGCUGUAUACAAGCAUCAGAUUUGUACAAAGGGAUGUGAGAUUUGAGAAAAACUGUUGUUGAGAUAUCAUCACUUAACAUGCACAUAUGAAAUCAGUACAAAUGAGCACAUACAAGUUAAUAUGCCUACUAGUGACUCAGCAUUUGAUUUUCACUGUUAACUUGAAUUUAAAGACUUAUGCACACCUAAAUGGCACAUCUGAUGUUGUGUUUAAAUGGCAAAUUCUCAGUGGAAAAAAGUAAGAGUCACAUUUUUCAUUCUUGUGUUCUUACCUGCCAAGUACACAGAAACCCCCAGGCAAAACAGUCCAAUAGCCACAUGUCUCACAGCCCUGCUGUCCAGCAGGAACCAGUCUGCUCUGUGGAGAGAAAUGUCAAAUGUUAUCAACUCAUCAAUGUCCUGUUUACAGGCCGGCUUUGCCACUUUGGUUGUUUCAUUACAGCAAAAAAAUGGAAUGGUGAAAUUAUGCUGCCUGUUAUAGUUUCUAUGGUGACUGUUUUCAUUACUGCAUCAUGUCUCUGCUAGCAUUGUUUAACUGAUAUUUGCUUGUCCCUACAUUGUUUUUUUUUUGUUUUUGUUUUUUUUGAUAGGUUUAUACAGGCCUAUCUAAACAAACCUUUAAAUAUUCAAUCAUUGAUGACUACUUGAUUAUUGAUUAUUUUAAUCUUUUAAGUGUAACAUUUAUGUUUAAAUUAAAACUGUUUAAAACAUUGAGUCAUUA
Myripristis murdjan (pinecone soldierfish) is the source of this 1683-nucleotide RNA transcript. It is a transcript of the gene named BLOC-1 related complex subunit 8, with no coding region annotated. Lineage: Eukaryota; Metazoa; Chordata; Actinopteri; Holocentriformes; Holocentridae. The transcript is spliced from 6 exons. The record is from RefSeq and is a predicted model, not a curated record.